Transfer RNA from Termitomyces sp. J132, 81 nucleotides. It matches the Rfam family "tRNA". Rfam says of the family: Transfer RNA (tRNA) molecules are approximately 80 nucleotides in length. Their secondary structure includes four short double-helical elements and three loops (D, anti-codon, and T loops). The record is from Rfam. Lineage: Eukaryota; Fungi; Basidiomycota; Agaricomycetes; Agaricales; Lyophyllaceae.
GCCCGCCUAGCUCAAUCGGAUAGAGCGUCAGACUCUUACCUAGGCAUCUGAAGGCUGCGAGUUCGACCCUCGCGGUGGGCU